RNAcentral lists this long non-coding RNA (8685 nucleotides) under Octopus vulgaris (common octopus). The record is from RNAcentral. Lineage: Eukaryota; Metazoa; Mollusca; Cephalopoda; Octopoda; Octopodidae.
UUAAUUAAGAAAUUUUCAACAAAGUUGUUUUUAUUUUAAUAAAAAAGAGGAUUUUUUUUUAUUAUGCUCUGGUCCUUAUAAAAGAAGUUGUUCCUGUUGUAUUGUGAAGGGUUUAUCGACCCUUAAUUUGAAAGAAAUGAAAAAUAUAUGUAUAGGUAACAAUAGUAAUAAUAAUAAUAAUAAUAAUAAUAAUUCCUUUUCACUGGAAACAAUAUGUCUUAAAAGAAUAUGUAGUCGAGUCGAUUUCAUCAUCACCAGUAUUAGGUGUAUACAUGCUUAUCGAUCCCAGAGGGACAAAAGGCAAAGAUGACCUCGGUGGGAUUUGAACUACGAUUGUAGAGGUUCAGUGAUUAAUGUGAGACAUUAAAUCCAGCGCUCUACGUAAUCUAUCAAUUUGCCACAUUUAAUAAGAAUUUUUGUUUUGUAACAUGGGCUCAGGGCUACAAAUAGGUUAGGGUGGUGUAGAAUGGAGGAAUAGACGCUUUCUUCAAUCACCAGUAUUUGACUGAUACUUAUUUUUAUCGACACCAGAAUGGAAAAGGCAAAGUCAACUUGGGCAGGAAUUGAACUCAGAACGUAAAAGUGACGGAACAAACACGUUAAGACAUGUUUCCGACUCUCAAACGAUUCUGCCAAUCUACCGUUUUUUUUAUCAUAAAAAGUUUUAACAUGUACACAAAGCCAGAAGUUUGGAGAAGAUGGGGCGGGUUUAGUCUUGACUAGUACUUUAUUUUAUCUACCCUUAGAAGAAUUAAAAGGGAGAAGUUGACCUCGGCGGGAUUUGAACCCAUCACUACCUUAUAGGCACAAUACUACGAAUUAUCAGCCAAUUAAAUUGGCUGCUUCUUAUUUUAUUAACACCGGAAGAUUUUUUUAUUUAGGUAGGGGCAAGUUAUUUAUGGCAGGAUUUAAAUUCGAAACGUAAAGAGAUUUAGCUAAAUAGAUUAAGUUAUUUAAUCCAGCGUUCAAUGAUUUAUCAAUUCAUCUCCCUUUCUUCUUCUAAUUUAGGCAGAGUACCAGUAAUUUCCAAGGGAUGGGGGUUAAUUGAUACACUAUUGACACCAAUGCUAGGCUAGUACUUUAUUUUAAUGACCCCGAAAGGAUGAAAGGCAAAUCUGUACUUGGCGGGAUUUGAACUCAGAAUGUAAAGAGCUAAAACAAAUAUACUACAAGAAAUUUUUCCAGAUGCUCUAACGAUUCUGCCAGCUCGUCAACUUCGCCCUCAAACUAAUAAUAAUAAUGAUCCUUUCUAUUAUAGGCACAAGGCCUGAAAUUUUAGGGGAGGGGGACUAGUCGAUUACAUCGACCCCAGCGUUUCACUGGUUCCUAAUUUAUAGACCCCCGAAAGGAUAACAGGCAAAGUCGACCUCGGCACAAUUUGAACUCAGAAUGUAAUGACGGCCGAAAGAAAUGCUUGGCGGUAUUUCGCCCGGCGUGCUAACGAUUCUGUCAGCUCGCUGCUUAAUAAUAAUAAUAAUAAUAAUAAUUAAUAAUUAAUUAAUAAAUGGAGAAAAUAACAUGGUAAUGAGGUAUUUCAAGCAACUGGCUUUCAAAUACUAGAAAAUUAAAUACUUGUGUGAAAAUGGCUUUCUUUAUGUGAAUUUUUAGCGAUUGGUAAUUAUUAUUAUACUUUGAUUUAAUGGGCUGGUGUCCUCAUCUUUAUGUGUUUAUCUCCGCACUAUGCGGUUUGAAUGAAGGGUUUGCUUUCGAGAAUACCGUAAAUGCUGCCGAAACAAAACUGCGACAGACACCCACAGAAGGCCGAAGAGUAAAACGAAGCAGUUGAAACACUGCACCUACAACAACCAAGAAGAGGUCACUCGAAGAAUAAAUCAACGAAUAAUAAUAAUAAUAAUAAUGGUUUGAAAUUUUGCCACAAGGGUAGCAAUUUUAGGGGAGGAGAAGAAUAGAUUACAUCGACCCCAGUGUUCAACUGGUACUUAUUUUAUCAACCACGAAAGGAUGAAAGGCAAAGUCGACUUCGGCGGAACUUUAACUCCGAACGUAUAGAAGGUCGAAAUGCCGCUAAGCAUUUUUCCUGGUGUUCUAAUGAUUCUGCCAGCUCGCAGCCUUUUCUUGAUGAUGAUGAUAAUAAUAAUAAUAAUAACAAUAAUAAUAAAAAUCCUUUCUACUAUAGGCACAAGGCCUGAAAUUUGGUGGGAGAGGGCCAGUCGAUUAGAUCGACUCCAGUACGCAACUGGCACUUAAUUUAUCGACCCCGAAAGAUGAAAGGCAAAGUCGACCUGGCGGACUUUGAACUCUGAACGUAAAGACGGUCGAAAGGCCGCAAAACUUUUCGCCCGACGUGCUAACGAUUCUGCUAGCUCGCAGUCGAUUUUGUUUGAUUUACGUUGGCAUACUUUGCUCUCAUCUGUGAUAUUUCGCCCUGGACUAUCAAUAGUGGUAUAAAGUGAGAUAAAUAACGGCAAAAUGAUAAUCUAAAUAGACAUAGCUUCCUUCCUCUAACACACACACGCACGCACACAUAGAGGUGACAGGGUUUAUAAACGCCCAAAAGUAAUAAAUGGUUUCUAAUUGAAGAGAAGGAAUUAAUCGAUGCCAUCGUCCCCCCUUUUGACUGGUAUUUUAUUUUAUCGAUACCCGAAGAAUUAAAAAGCUAAGGGAACUUCAGCAGGAUUUGAACUCAGAACAUAAAGAGCUGGAACAAAAUCCGCAAAGCAAUUUUUUUUCGACGCUCUAACGGUUCUACCAGUUCGCUUCCCUAUAUAUCCAAAAGUAAUGAUGUGUUCAAAUUUUGGCACAAGACCAGCAAUUUUGGGACUGGUACUUCUUGUAUCGACCCCGAAGGGAUGAAAGGCAAAGUCAACCUGGGCGGAAUUUGAACUCAGAACGUAAAGACGGAUAAAAUGCCGCCAAUAAUUUUGCCUAGUGCGGUAACGAUUCUACUAGCUUGCUUCCUUGGACAACCAAAAGUAAAACUCUUUCCACAAUAGGUACAAGGUCUGAAAUUCCAGGGGAGGGGGUUAGUCGAUCACGUCGACCCCAGUGCGCAACUGGUACUUAUUUCAUCGACCCGGAAAAGAUGAAAGGCAAAGUCAACCUCGGCGGAAUUUGAACUCAGAACGUAAAGACCAACGCAAGACCAGAAAUUUCAGGGUGGAGGCAAGUCGAUUAUAUCAACGACAGAGCUGAACAAGAAAUAAUGAAUGCUUGAUGUAAAUUGGUCCCUAUGAUCUAAAUGAUGAGGCAGACCCAAGGGAACGUAUUUCACGACCUUUGUGCCGGCUCAUCCUAAAUACCUGAAAAUUUAGUGGUCAAUCUAAAACUAUCCAAAUCUGUAUUUUUAUAUAUUUCUUUAUUGCCCACAAGGGGCUAAACAUAGAGGGGACAAACAAGGACAGAAAAGGGGAUUAAGUCGAUUACAUCGACCCCAGUGCGUAACUGGUACUUUAUUUAUCGACCCCGAAAGGAUGAAAGGCAAAGUCGACCGCGGCGGAAUUUGAACUCAGAACGUAGCGACAGACGAAAUACUGCUUAGCAUUUCGCCCGGCGUGCUAACGUUUCUGCCAGCUCGCCGCCUUACCACAUCUGUAUUUUUAUAAUGUAAGGUAAGAUAUUGUGUUUUAGAAAAGCACAUAGAAAUGAUGUUGUUAUAAAAUACUAUAAACUGUAUUACACGAAAUAUGUUAAAUAUAUGUUCUGUAUAUUUACAAUCAUAUUAGCCUAUGUACAUGAAAAUGAAAUGAGAUAUGCAAGGGAUGGAUAAGCAACGAAUUAACCUAUGUACAAUUUCCAUACCGUUGCUUGACUUGCUAACAAUAGCAGUCAUGUUUCUAAUGCUGGUGUUGCUACUGCUUUUGGGUACCGUAGUUCUUCGUAUACAAAAUAUGCUGGGAUAAUGCACUUUGAAUGUGGUUUUAUUAAACACACUAAAUAUAUGUCUGCUGUCGAUAGACAGAGAAAAUGGUAUGAAAACCCAUACUCUCGGUAAAGGAAGGGCAAUAUUCUAAUGCUGGUGUUGCUACUGCUUUUGAGCUCCGUUUUCCUCUAGAUAAGCAAGACUUAUGAUCAAAGGUAUUCCACUGAUGACUAACCACUAUUUUGUAUACGAAGAACUAUGGUCCUCAAUGUAAUGUUCUGUUUCUUUUCUUUUCUUUUUAAUAUGUGUGCGAUCUGUGAGAAACAUGACCGCUAUUUUUAGCAAGUCGAGCAACGGUAUGGAAAUUGUACGUAAGUUAACUAGUUGCUUGUCCAUUUGAAUUCUGAAUGAUAUUCUAUAUCAUAUCUCAUUUCAUUUUCAUGUACAUAGGCUAAUAUGAUUGUGUGUAAAUAUACAGAACAUAUAUUUAACAUAUUUCGUAUAAAACACAUUAAAAUGGAAGUCUGUCGGGGUUCGACAAUGACGUCAGUAACGCCGGAGUUGGGAGCGAAACCCAAAGGCGGACGCACAGACGCGGCCACAUGUUGGACACGUAACAGCAGAAAUAAGGCUGGGGAUCCUCUCUUUUCGGGCUUGUCACUUCUGGUCCAGGCUCUUUUCCUCGAACAGCCUAAGACCGUUUUGGACAGCUGGACGCCAGGCGCCGCGGUCAGAGGCAAGCGGUUCCCAUCCACGGGCUGAAAUGCCGCAGGACUCAAGUGAAGUUUUCAGGCUGUCCUUGUAUCGCCUCAGUGACCUUCCAGGGUUUCUUGCUCCAGAAGCCAACCCAGAGAAGAAGAUCAUCUUUGGUACAUAAUACACAAAACACACACAUAUAUCAAAUAUGUAAAAUAAAUAAUACAUAACAUCUAUUUAUAUUUAUAUAUAUACACACAAACACAUAUAACAUUGUGUAAUCUAUGCAACAAACAUUACGGACACCCACAUCGAAUUUGACACUUGUUGAAUUAGCUUAUGAAAUGGCCGAGUAUUCCAAGCACACAAUUCUCGGGUAGAAUCAACGUGACGCAAGCUUGACAAGACUAAAAGUAUAGUUUAUUCGACAGGUUUCCGGGUAGCUUCAGUCUACCCGUAUUCACUCGCGAGGCUUAGUUUAACAAGAGGUUAUGGUUAAUGUACUUACCCAAGAUAACAAUGGGAGCCUGGGCCCACUUUUUACCCAGCCACUCAUUCCUGCUAAAUUAUAUAUAUAUAUAUAUAUAUAUAUAUAUAUAUAGGCAUGCUUGUGUUAUAAGAAAUCUGUUUCUCAAGCAAUUGGCUUCGGGUUCAGUCCCACUGUGUGACACCUUGGGCAAGUGCCUCGCCCCGUGCCGACCAAAGCCUUGUGAAUGGAUAUGGUAGAUUGAAUCUGAAAGAACUCCAUCGUGUGUGUGUGUGUCUGUAUGUGUGUGUUUGUAUGCAUAUGAAUGUGUGAUAACGUCUCAGUGUCUGUCGCACCACCGCUUGACAAUCGGUGUUGGUUUGUUUACGUCCUUGUAACUUAGCGGCUUUGUAAAAAAGACCGAUAGACUAAGUAAAUAGACUUUAAAAAUAAUUAUUAUGGUUGAUCUGUUCGACUAAAACCCUUCAAGGCGCUGCCCCAUCAUGGCCGCAAUCCAAUGACUGAAAUGAGUAACACAAAGGAUUAAAGAUAAAUAUUCUAUAACCGAAGUUAUAAAAGUCAAUAGAUGGGUUUGGAUAAGGAAAGCAAAGCAGUAGUUUGUGAAACGGAUCGACUUCAGCCAGAUCGACUCGAUGUGGAUUCUGAUACUGAAAGACCCGAAGCCCCUGAAAAACCAUCAAAACAUCACUGAUGAAGCACCCCAGAGCACCAGCGAGAUGUAUUUUGGAACAAUACAUAAUGUGUUUAAUGCAUACAUACACAUGGUGAAUGUUUCCUCUUCCAGCUGUAUCUCUCUCUCACUCUUUCUCAGUUCAUUACAUUUUUCUACUUAAUUAUUUAGGAUUAUCAUUGCUGUCUUCAUAAUAGACAUGUGACAGGACAAGCGUUGUCUAAGGUAAAAAAAAAAUACCAUGAUAUGUUUAUAAAAAAUAAUACUUAAAAAAUAUUCUAUGCAGAAAUUUCCCUUCUGGAGUGGAGUGCGGACUUUAGUUAACCCACCAUAGAGGAAUUUGAAGGUUCAGAUAAAGAAUUUCUUUCAAGUUAACUAUUCGUUUAAUUCUCAUGAUACGCACAUCUUUGGUUCUAAAUUUACUACUCUUGGUAUAAAACAGUUCUAACAUUAAAUUUAUACGGUUUCUAAUUUAGGUACAAAGCCAGUAGUUUUGAGCAGAGAAUGCUUUUAGUGGAUACCAUCGACUCCAGUACUUGGUUGGUAUUUUAUUCUACCGACCCCGACAAGAUGAAAAGCAAAGAUGAGCUCGUCGGCGGGAUUUGAAACCAGAACGUAAAGGAAUCGCAGGAAAUCCCCUAUGGCAUUUUGUUCGACACUCUAACCAUUCUGGCAGUUAACCUGUCCGCGAGAUUAUAAUAUAAAUAAUUUUUCUUAUCAUAUAUGUAUAGGGUAGAACUGGGUUGGUGAAUAAGGAACCGUAAAUAAAAACGGUUUUCUUAACAUUGUUAUAAAACAACGAAUCCUGCUCGGUUCAAUCCUCAUUCAAAGCUAGUAAAAAGUAAAAUACCGCACUGGGUCCUAACAUUUUCAAAUUUUAACACAAGGCCGACGAGUUCGGACAUAAAUCGAUUAAAUCGAGCGGAGUCCUCAACUGGUAGUUGUUUAAUCGAUCCGGAAAAAAAUGAAAAGGAUAGCCGACCUUGGAGGAAUUUGAACUCAAAACGUAAAGACGGAUGAAAACGAUUCUACCAGCUCACGGCCUUCCUAGGUCUUAAUGUUGCGGCGAGACUGAAUACUUGUGGUCUUGAGACAAACGGAAGAAUGAACGAGAUCAUCUAUGUUAGACCGACUGAUGAAGAUUACGACAAAAAUGGUUGCGUCACGUAUAUAAUAAAGACGGAAGCCUCGUUGUGGAUGUACAAAGCUGGAGGUUAGCACAGUAUACAUUCUGGCUCUCUACUGUCUCUGUUCAAAUCCCGCAGGGGGUAACUUUGCUUUUAUCCUUUCAUAUUAAUUUAUUCAACUAUCCAACUAUUUGUCUAUUUAUUCGUUUCAUUUACACAUCUCUCUAAUGAUUUAUGGAUAGAAAUAAUUGUUGGAAUGUUUAUUUACGAACUCAAUUUACAUUUUAAUGAGAAGAUGUAAAUAAUCAUAAAGAGAUGACGAUGAGAACGAUGAAGAUGAUGAUGAAGGGGAGGAGGAAGAGGAUUUUAAAGAAAUCCUGAAAGAUGAAUAUAAAAUUAAAUUAUAAUACAAAUAAAAUUAAAAGCAAAGUUCGCAAUUUUAAAACAUUUUUCUUUCUUUUUCAUUUCGAUUUUUUUUUUAAUUAAGAAAAAUUGGAAUGUUGUCUAUCGAUAUAUUUUGAUUGAUUUUUGACUAGGUAGGAACAAGGUCACCAUUACGUAAGUAAAAAAGCAGAUAGAUGAUUGAAUUGACACCAAUAUGCAACCGGUAUUUGUUUCAAGACCCACUCCAUCUUUUUUCAUACUUCCCAAGGGAUAAAAGUCAACUUCAUCGUAAUUUUAAAUCUAGAAAUGACAGUCUCUUUAUUAAAUUGUGUUCUAAUGUUCAUUAAUCAAAGAUCGAAGGCAUCCGAGCCAUGACCAUCCAGCCAGCAGCUUAAUUUCCAACAUAAGAUAUUAGAGUCCUAGAUGCACUAAGCAGCUUUCCAUUUUUAAAGACGUUUCGAUUUAGUCCCUUGGCCACCUUUGAUCAAAACGAAGGUGUUCCAGCAGUGAUCACCCCUCAUCAAUCAUGUAUAUCAGAGAUUAAUUAUUCAAUAUACCCUUUUUAUUUAAGAUGAGGAUAAAGAGUAAAGACCCCCUCGGUCAUGAACGACCAUGGGAUUGCACCUAGAAAGUUUCCCUUCGAGGUAAAAAUCUGAGCAAGGUUGCUUAUGGAAGACCAACAGUCGCCCAUGCAUACCAGCUUCUCCUCUUCACGCCACUGAUGUUAUCCAAAGCAAAGACAAUGGCCGACACAGCUUGGCACCAGUGACGUCGCAACUCAUUUCUACAGCUGAGCGAACUGGAGCAACGUGAAAUAAAGUGUCUUGCUCAAGAACCCAACACACAGCUCCAUCCAAGAAUUGAACACACUACUUCAUGGUGAGCUCGACACUAACCACUGAGCCAUGUGCCUUCACAUUUAAGAUAGUAAGGCCUGAUUUAAAGCCGAUUUGGUUGUUAGUUUUAGUAAAUCAAACAACUACAUACAGGCAAAAAUCUGAACUUUACUGGCUGGAUAUUUCUAGAAAUAACACAUGACUGGAACCCUUUAUAAUAAUUGUUCACUUUAGAAUGCUCUGUCUCUGUAAAACCAGGAAUCAUUCCUAGAUUUUGAUCAGGUUAAGUUAACCAUGUAAAAUUUAAAACUUAAGUUUUAAAUGGCCACAGACAUGAUAGAAGUGUCACAGAUCUCUUCAGCUGGUAGACUAACAGCCUAUCAACUUACUCCACUGUCUUAACGACCUCGCAAAUGGCAGGUGAGUUUUCAUACAGAUUCAUUAAGAGACGAAUUAGUAACUAAAACAGCCUUGACUAAUGCUCUCAAAAGUAAUCUUUAUAACCAUGUUCGAUAUUGAAAGAAUUCAGUAUCUUCUAACAAAUGCAUGCUUACGCAACAAGAAAGUGAGUCGAAGUUUGAAAAUGAAAUACUACAGGGAAUGACUCAAAUCGCUUACAUGUUAUUGCAAGGUUUGUGUAUGUGUAUAUGUGGUGUGUGUGUAUG